CAAUUUGAUUACUUAAACUGUUAAUUUGUUCGCUUGCUAGUAAUUGAUUUGCCUCUCCAUUUAUGUGAAUGUCUGUCGAAACUCCGAUGAAGACCCAUAUAUAUACAGUGUAGCUAGCUGCAAAGAUGAAGAAAAUAAGCACAUGUUAUCUAAGCGCCUGAGAUAAAAACGUCAAGUUAUAUUAGGAGAAUUCUACAUAGAUAGAUAACGGCUACUGUGAAAAGUUGUGUUAAGUAAUACUGCACAAAAAGACCGCAUGUUCGACGGAUCAAUAGUUUCGUUUGACAAAGUUUCUGUAUAAAAACAUUGAUUUAACGGCUACCGCAUCUCGUGAUUCAUAGUAGUCAUGGUGUUUAUAUCUUUAUUAAAAUAUAUUACCACCAUAUCUGCAAAGUGUCACGGUAACGGGAUUUGGAAAACCAAAGAUAACCGUAGUUGCGGGAGCAAAUAAGUACCAUUUAGUGAUAUUAGUAUAUUAAAAAACCGUUUUUUGGUUUGUCAAGAAAGUACAGUCGAAGUUAUAAAGUGGAAACAACCUAGGAAUCUUAAAUAUUUACGAUUCUAGGUUCUGUCAUUUGUUAAAGAAAAUUCAUUCCAAAUUAAAAAAUAGAGUAUUAUGCCAAUAUGCGCUUUUUGCUAAGUCCAUCAACUUUUCAUGCAAAGAUACAUGUAUUUCAUUUUUGACGAGUCUAGGAGAAUUCCAAAGAACGACUUUUUUAAAAGGUCUAUACUCCAUUAAAGAAUCUAUAAGAUACUAAAAACUAAAAAAAGGGCUUUUGAUUACCAUUAUUAAGACAAGUAAUAUUGAGGACAAUUUGGGGCAAGAGGUAAACAAAGUGAUAGCAAGAACUAGUAAAACUUAAUAGGAUUUUAACAAUACUCAUAAACAAAACUUCGGUUUAACGAUUUUGAUAUUUUCAUUUUGCUUCAAUAAUUUCAUUAUGCACCAUUUCAAUGCACGGCAUUUGAUGAAGAAGAAAGUUCAUUCGUUUAUUACAAACUAUUUCAUCCUUCUUUUUCUUUUUUCAAUUUAUAAAACAUUUAAAGAACCCAAAUAGAAAAGCCCGAAUUGAAAGACAUGGUUCAUCAUUGUUCGUU
Non-coding RNA from Schizosaccharomyces pombe (fission yeast), 1098 nucleotides. Lineage: Eukaryota; Fungi; Ascomycota; Schizosaccharomycetes; Schizosaccharomycetales; Schizosaccharomycetaceae. The record is from the annotation of a GenBank genome assembly.